This 167-nucleotide ribosomal RNA is filed under the name Setoseptoria sp. RNAcentral describes it as "partial large subunit ribosomal RNA". It matches the Rfam family "Eukaryotic large subunit ribosomal RNA", at positions 99 to 261 of the family's 3401-position model. The record is from RNAcentral. Lineage: Eukaryota; Fungi; Ascomycota; Dothideomycetes; Pleosporales; Lentitheciaceae.
CGGCAAAAGCUCAAAUUUGAAAUCUGGCCUCCUAUGGGGGUCCGAGUUGUAAUUUGCAGAGGGCGCUUUGGUGUUGGCAGCGGUCCAAGUUCCUUGGAACAGGACGUCGCAGAGGGUGAGAAUCCCGUACGUGGUCGCCUGCCUCCGCCGUGUAAAGCCCCUUCGAC